CACGUAGGGGGCUAGCGUUGUCCGGAAUCAUUGGGCGUAAAGCGCGUGUAGGCGGUCCGGUAAGUCCGCUGUGAAAGUCGGGGGCUCAACCCUCGGAUGCCGGUGGAUACUGUCGGGCUUGAGUACGGAAGAGGCGAGUGGAAUUCCUGGUGUAGCGGUGGAAUGCGCAGAUAUCAGGAGGAACACCAAUAGCGAAGGCAGCUCGCUGGGACGUUACUGACACUGAGGCGCGAAAGCGUGGGGAGCGAACAGG
RNAcentral lists this ribosomal RNA (253 nucleotides) under uncultured bacterium. RNAcentral describes it as "partial 16S ribosomal RNA". It matches the Rfam family "Bacterial small subunit ribosomal RNA", at positions 524 to 776 of the family's 1533-position model. The record is from RNAcentral.